GACGAACGCUGGCGGCGUGCCUAAUACAUGCAAGUAGGACGCAGUUGCGAACGGGUGAGUAACGCGUAGGUAACUACCUAUUAGAGGGGGAUAACUAUUGGAAACGAUAGCUAAUACCGCAUACUAGUAGAUGGACCUGCGUUGUAUUAGCUAGUAGGUAGGGUAAUGGCCUACCUAGGCAACGAUACAUAGCCUAGUUGAGAGGGGGGUCGGGCACACUGGGAAUGAGGCACGGCCCAGGUUCCUACGGGAGGCAGCAGUAGGGGAACUUCGGCAAUGGGGGGAAACCUGACCGAGCAACGGCGCGUGAGUGGAGAAGGUUUUCGGAGCGUAAAGCUCUGUUGUUAAGGAAGCGGUACUUAACCAGAAAGGGACGGCUAACUACGUGCCAGCCGCCGCGGUAAUAC
This 407-nucleotide ribosomal RNA is filed under the name uncultured bacterium. RNAcentral describes it as "partial 16S ribosomal RNA". It matches the Rfam family "Bacterial small subunit ribosomal RNA", at positions 28 to 526 of the family's 1533-position model. The record is from RNAcentral.